UGGUGCCAGAUGUACUUGGUAUUGCGGAAGAAUGAUGUGAUCGAUGGAUUUGUGGCACGUAAUAAUAUUAGCGAUUGAUAAAAAUUGUAAGCUGUGUA
Molecule: non-coding RNA, 98 nt
Organism: Caenorhabditis elegans
Lineage: Eukaryota; Metazoa; Nematoda; Chromadorea; Rhabditida; Rhabditidae
Source: Ensembl